Monomorium pharaonis (pharaoh ant) is the source of this 5626-nucleotide long non-coding RNA. RefSeq lists it as uncharacterized. The transcript has 3 exons. NCBI's taxonomy places the organism in Eukaryota, Metazoa, Arthropoda, Insecta, Hymenoptera, Formicidae. The record is from RefSeq and is a predicted model, not a curated record.
CUUUAUUUUGAAAAUGAAGUAAACCUUAAAUGGAUUACACAAGAACGUAAAAUUUACAUAACUUACUUAAGAUGUAAACUAUUACGCCAUGUCGUGUUAUGGCUUUUACGCUGUAAAGGCAAUUACAAAUCAAAUUAUUCAUUGUUUCGUUCUUUACUGAUUUUAGCAAUGCUAAAAUUCAGAUAUUUACGAUAUUAAAAAAUAAUUUGUCAUUAAUUAGGAAAGAACAUAAUAAUUUUAAAAACUAAUAAUAAUUUAAAAUGGAAUUGCUUAAAUGUAGAUAAUCAACUAAUACAAAUAAGCUAAUAUAAAUAAGCGCCAACUAUUGAAUCUAAAUCUUGAUGCUUAAUAUUAUUUAAUAUGUAAUAUCUUAAAUUCAGUUUUCAGUUUUUUUAAUUUUUAAUUAAACUUAAUCAAGUGUACGCCGAACAUAAUCGAUCUUGAAACAAAAUUAUAAAUUGAAUCUAGAAAUAAUAUCACAAAUUAAAUCAUUAAUUUAAAUAAUUAUGCUAUUAAGCAUUUUAAAAAAAUUGUUUAAAAACUUAACGCAAAAAAUAUUAUCUCUUUUAGAAUUUGAAUCUGGAACUGUAAAAUUCCGUCAUGAGUGUCAAGUUAAUUUGGCUACCAAGGUAUAAUAAUAUUUAUCGUAAAAAAUAACCUGCAGUAUAUAUAUUAUGAGAAAAACAUAUCAAACACAGUUAUGAGAUAGAUAUACAUAUUGUUACGCGCGCUGCCCGGUAUACUCUCCGUCCGCGAGUCAGCUGUCGAAUCGGCGAUGUCGAUCGGCGGCGGCGGUCAGCUGUCUGGAGCCGGGCAAUGGGAAUUGACAGGAAUAAACAAAACAUUCGUUAAGAGGCUUCGAGCUAGAUUGGUCGUUAAUUGUAAACGCUAAGAAUAAAGCUGUUCGUUAAGAGUACGGAAGAGUGUCUUUUUAUUUCCGUGAGCGCGCGCGUAACAAUAUUAUAUAAAUAAUAUUAAGUAUUAAGAUUCAGAUUUAACGGUUGGUAAUGUUUUACUUAUUUGUAUGUGAUUAGCUCUAAGAAGCUUUUUAGUUUUUAAAUAUCGAUAACUUUAGCAAAUACUGUACAACUAAAAAAACAUCCUUAAUUUUUUUUUGAAAGCUUAGCUAAAUAUAUGUAUGUUUGUAUGAUUAUUUUAUACUUCUUUAUAUUACUUAUUUAUUUUGAUAUAAAUGUGUAUUUAUACUGAAAAAAAUAUUUCUUAAUUUUAGGAAAUAUAUUUAUUAAAAUAAAAUUUGUAUACUUAACUCUCUCGUGCAUAGUGGGACAUAAAUUUCUUCAAAAAUUCUUUAAAACAUCUACAAAAAUAAAGAGAGCGACUUUCUUUUAAGCUAAAUUUAAAGAUAAAUAAUAGGACUCCUUACAAAAAAAUCAAAAUCUGCGUAAAUUUCACUUUUUAAUAUACGUAUUUCAAAUAGUCUUAAAGUGAAAUAAAAGUGAAAAAUAUUAAUAUUAUUCACAAAAAUUAAGAUGUCCUUUCGAAACACGGAUUAGCUUGUUAAGGUGUCAGAUUUGAAAGUAAUUCAAGCGAGAGAAAAAAAAUUACAAACAAGAUUACAAAAAAAGAAACGGGGGCAGACACGGACAAUUCACCUGGAUCUGCGAUGUUAGAAAAUAUGUAUAUACGAAAUACUUUGAAUACCUAGUAUUCGGUUAUGCAGACCAUGUAAGUUUCAGGUAGAACGAUGCGCGGCGCCAGCAAUCAGGACCAGAUCGGUGACCACGUGGUCGUUCCAUACAAUGUGUCGCAUGGACCGGAAUUCAACAUUAGUUCCUAGCACAAAAAGCGGAGCAAUCCUAGCUCGCCCAAAAGGUGUUUUUUGACUAGUUAGACAGUCGUAUUACGCGGGGCGAAUUAAAAGAUUAGAUCAUCUUGAUACUUUUAAAAAAUCGGAAAAAUUUUUUGCUUAAUUAAUAUUGCAAAAUCGUAAGAAUAGUUUCCUUUUGGCGCAGAUAAAAAAACCACUCAUUAAAGAAUUAUAACUGAUAUAUCGCCUAAGCGCGCCAAAACGCGGUCGAGCUUCUCUGAUACUCCAAACGAUGGAGCGCGUCAAACGGAGGGCUAGCUAUAUCCUUUGUAUUUCCCAGUCUCCAACAGACAGAACACAGAAACCUAAAAGCCCGUCGAAAUGUUUUCGUCCACCAGCGCCUCAACGUACAUAAAACAUGCACUUAAUUCGAACUACGUAAGCAAUGUCUACGAAGAUCCGUAGAUAACGUGUACAAUUGUCUAUAGCUAUAGGUCUUUUCCGUGCUAUGUUUAUGAUUAUUUGGUUUUGUUCCAUGCUAUAUCCAUAAAAUGUAAAUACUUGUAAAGCCUGUUCUACAUUAAUUGCAAGUCGCUGGUUACAAUUUGCGACAAUGACUGUCGAGAUUUAACUAGAAGCUAGGCGCUUAUUGGGUGUCGCAAGUCGCAACUCUUUGCGAUUAAUGUAGAAUGGGCUAAUAUGCAAGGUCGAAGCUAAACUGCUGUAUAAAACGAUUGAAACCAAACUAUUCUUGCAAAAGUAUUUUGCAAAAUUAUAAUAAGAAUUAAUAGUAUAUAUACUAUAUAUAUUAUGUGCGCGCGAAUGCUUUGGAGAAUACAAAGAUCGUCCGGGCCUCAAUUAUAAAUAAAUUAAUAUUUUUUAUAAAUUAUUUGUCUUGACAUUGUUCUUGCAUUUGUACAUUUUAGUGUACAAAAUGCGAAAAUAUUCGUUAAAAAUUUUUUAUUUUACAUAAUUAUGUGCACGCGAUAACUUUGAGUUAAAUGAAUCACUCCUGGGCUUCGACAUUAUUAACAAAUAAUCUUUCUUCUAACAUCAUUGAUCUUAAGGAUUGUUUUCGCAGUAGCACAUUUUGACAAACGCAGAAUCAGUUAAAAUAUUUUCAUCUUACAUUUUCAUAUACGUGUGAAUACAUUGAUCCGGGAAAGAAUCUAUAUCAACGAUCAAAUUAUAGAUAAAAGUAUAUUAGAAGAAAUCUAAUUUUGUCAAUUGGUAUUUAAAAUUAAAACUAACGUGAUGGUUAAAUUAUAUUUUCGUGUUAUUUGAAUAAUUUGAUUAUACAAAUACGUUGUGACCUCGUGUUGUAUUAUUAUCUAGGAUUUUAAACCGAAGAAAGGGAUAGACUGCGAAACGCGAGACACAAUGGGCAGAAGAUCGCGAGCAGUAGCAGCGAAGAGACGCGUAGUCGAGCACUUACGAAAAGCGACAAAAUUCUAAUUUUCGCGAUUUGUUCUAUUUUAUAAUUAAAUUAUUAAAAACAUCAGAUUAUUAGCUCUACCAGGUCUGGAUUAUCCUACAUUUGAUCUUUCUGAUAAAAUUUAAUCUACUUUACCCGAUAAAGAUUUUUUCCCGAUCAGAGAUCGCUCUCGGGCUUCAAUUAUUAAGAAAUAAUUUUUUUUCUGACGUUAAAUUCAAAGAUUGUUCUUGCUUUUGUACAUUUUGGCACAAAACGCAGAAGUUAUCGUUAAAAGUUUUUGAUUUUAAUUCGAUGGAUUAUGUUUAACGUGAAUAAGUCUAUAAAAAGCUGUAUAUAACCAUAUAUAACCGUAUAUAUUAAUAAUUUGAAAUAUAAGAAGAAUAUUUGGCGUUAAAUCUAAUAAGGUAAAUUUAAUUAAAUAAUUCGAAAUUUAAUACACUGAAGAUUGAAGAACACUGAAAGAUUGGCAUCACGCGAUACAACACCGCUCAAUCUUUUAUUUACUAAUAAAAUUUUGUUAAUUUUUCACAAGUAUCUGGAAAUAUCUGCUUUGAUGAUUGAUCGCUGUUACAAAUAUUUAAUUGUCUAAAUUUAUAAUUGCUUACUGUGAUAAUUGAGAUAUCUAAAAUAUUAAUAAAUAUUUGCAACGAGUCUUUAUACAGAAAAUACAAGAAAUGAUAAAAUUUAUUAUUUGCUGUUUACUUAUUUUUAUACUUAUCUGUGUCUAUACCUGUACUUAUACUUACAGUAAUACUUGUGCAUAUUACACACUGAACAGUUUGCUUAAGUAUUUAUAUCAUGAUAUCUUUUGUCUCACAGUGACAGUUUGAUAUAUGCUCGGUAUUCAUUUUUUUAAUGAAUUAAAAUUUACAUGGUCUUUCAGAAAAAAUCUUCCCUCCCGUGGGUACGACCUUGACGUGGUGGGAGGGCUCAAUACCCCUAGGGCUUGAAAGCCUGUGGGGGAAGCUAACUGUACCCAUUGCACUUAUUACGUCGUCAAUCGUAAAAUUGUGGUUCGUCGCGUCGCGUUUUCGGGAGUACCGACCGAUUUAAAUGAAAACGAACCGUAGCCGGUUCGUCGCGUUAAUUGCGCGUUUGCUUCGGGAGUGCCGUUCAAGUAAAUGGACUAAAAGGGCGUUUCUCAUAACUCCCAUGAUACAAUUCGAUCGAGAAUUAAAACUCGUAUCAUGGGUUUUAUAGAUUAGUCUAAUUAGUUCUACGCGCGAUUGUAGUAUAUGUUAUUCGCGAGUGUCUUGUGCAACGAGAGGAGGAAGAGAUGCAGGCCUGGAAAAGGCAUCGAGCUUCGGCAAAGCAACCUUUGUGAAUCAUAGUAGGGACGUUGAUUUGAAUAACUGCCGCUGCGCAUCGGUCGUUAUUAUAGGGAUUCUACAAGCGUCGAGCAGCAAGUUUCACAAGUUCAGAAAUCACUAAGAGACGUCAACAAGAACAUGAAAUUUAGUAAGGUUAGCUUGGGUCAAGGGUACUAUUCCGUAACCAUUUAUCGACAACUAUCGAUGUCAUUAAAUAUCUUUGCGCACGUAUUUUCAUAUAUGAAAGAAUAUGCGCAACGACACUUAAGUCCCUCACACAUGAAUUGACAUAACCAUAACUGUAAAGUUUCGACCAAUCACGUACUUGAUUCAGCCUGCCUUGAUUUACGGCAGGUUACGGUUACGGUCGCCCAAUCCGACGCGUCGAAAUCUUACUGUAAUGGUUAUGUCAAUUCAUGUGUGAAGGCCUUUAACGACAUCAAUAGUUGUCGGUAAAUGGUUACGGAAUAGCGGUUCAAGUACUUUCGCUUCCUUCUAUGCUGCUUUGCUUCUUGCCCAAAAUCCAACUGUUGAAUUUUUCGGAAGCGUCAGCAAUGGCGUAGAAAAUAUCUCUUCGUUGAUUGGCUGCUGCUCAACGCUUGCCGCUUGCUGCAUCCAAUCUGCACUAGGCUUUACUUGAUAGGUAAAAGUGCCUUUUCACGCUGACGCUUGAUACUCAUUUUCAGCAUAGAGCUUGUAUUGAUGGAAGGGCCAUUGCUAUAUGCCGGAGUCCGCGUGGGGAGAAUCGACAGAGACAUGAAUAUAUUCUCAUAUAUUCUGUCUCUUUUUGUGUUGGACAUCCCCACCACUCCGUUUUCUAGAAGAAAAGAAGCGCACAUACGAGCGGUACGACAGGUACGAGCCUACCUACUUGGUGCCUACUUGGGCCUUGGGCUGUUACAAUUAGUUACAAUUAGUUCAAAAAAUUUUUACAUACGAAAGUAAUGCUGUGCAUUCAUUGAUUGGCAUGCAUCUUUUAGAUUCUAAAUUAUGUACCAUUUAAUGAAUGCACAGUGUUAUCUUUGUAAGCAAUUUUUUUCGUACAAGUUCGAGAAUCGGGCCUCGGAUUGUAUAGUUACGAACCUGGGCCCCGAUUCUUGAAUUCAUUCGCAA